Molecule: ribosomal RNA, 484 nt
Filed under: uncultured Bacillota bacterium
Lineage: Bacteria; Bacillati; Bacillota
Description: bacterial SSU rRNA
Rfam family: Bacterial small subunit ribosomal RNA
Source: RNAcentral
GGCAGCAGUGGGGAAUCUUCGGCAAUGGGCGAAAGCCUGACCGAGCAACGCCGCGUGAAUGAUGAAGGCCUUCGGGUUGUAAAAUUCUGUUAUAAGGGAAGAACGACUUUAGUAGGAAAUGGCUAGAGUGUGACGGUACCUUAUGAGAAAGCCACGGCUAACUACGUGCCAGCAGCCGCGGUAAUACGUAGGUGGCGAGCGUUAUCCGGAAUUAUUGGGCGUAAAGAGCGCGCAGGUGGUUGAUUAAGUCUGAUGUGAAAGCCCACGGCUUAACCGUGGAGGGUCAUUGGAAACUGGUCGACUUGAGUGCAGAAGAGGGAAGUGGAAUUCCAUGUGUAGCGGUGAAAUGCGUAGAGAUAUGGAGGAACACCAGUGGCGAAGGUGGCUUCCUGGUCUGUAACUGACACUGAGGCGCGAAAGCGUGGGGAGCAAACAGGAUUAGAUACCCUGGUAGUCCACGCCGUAAACGAUGAGUGCUAAGUGU